Long non-coding RNA from Tachysurus fulvidraco (yellow catfish), 350 nucleotides. RefSeq lists it as uncharacterized. The transcript has 3 exons. Lineage: Eukaryota; Metazoa; Chordata; Actinopteri; Siluriformes; Bagridae. The record is from RefSeq and is a predicted model, not a curated record.
UUUCUUUCUAGGUCAUCAGAGGGCGAUUCUAACCAUCCUAUUCAGUAUCAGGCAGGCUAACUAUCCUGUUCAGUGUCAGGCUAAGAGUGACGAGAAAUAGAUAAGCCAUAUGCCACUGCUGUGGACGUCAAUACUGCAGAACUCCCCGCCACCCCAUGCUUGAUCAUUUAAGGUGACAUGAUGAAGCCCUCUGGAUGGCUUAUAUCCAUCGAGGGACAUGUCAUGAUGGGCCCACACCCUUUCUUUUUACACGGAGUAGCUGCAUUCUUCAGCAGCUAUUACGUAAUCAACCUUGAGUAUCCUGCCGCUGGAUCUUCGACGCUGGAGUUCAUUCAAAGGUAUUUUAUAAA